This 504-nucleotide ribosomal RNA is filed under the name Camptomyia heterobia. Its description in RNAcentral is "partial 16S ribosomal RNA". The record is from RNAcentral. Lineage: Eukaryota; Metazoa; Arthropoda; Insecta; Diptera; Cecidomyiidae.
GUCUUUUAAAUUUUUUUAAAAGUUUAACCUGCCCAUUGAAAAUUUUUAAAAGGCCGCAAUAUUUUAAUUGUGCGAAGGUAGCAUAAUCAUUAGGUUUUUAAUUGAAAUCUUGUAUGAAUGGUUGAAUGAGAUAUAAGCUGUUUUAAUUUUAAUAAUGAAAUUUAUUUUUUAGUAAAAAAGCUAAAAUAAAAAAAAAAGACGAGAAGACCCUAUAGAGUUUAAUAAAUAAUUUUUAAUUAUUAUUUAUAAAAUUUUUAUUUUUAUAAAAAAUUUAUUUUAUUGGGGUGAUAUUAAAAUUUAAUUAACUUUUAAUUGAAUAAAUCAAUAAUAUUUGUUUAAUUGAUCUUAUAUUAUAGAUUAAAAAUAUAAAUUACCUUAGGGAUAACAGAAUAAUUUUUUUAUAAAGUUCUUAUUUAUAAGAAAGAUUAUUACCUCGAUGUUGAAUUAAGAAAAAUAAUAGGUGUAGAAGUUUAAUUAUUAAGUCUGUUCGACUUUUAAAUUCUU